RNAcentral lists this long non-coding RNA (371 nucleotides) under Homo sapiens (human). Its description in RNAcentral is "non-protein coding lnc-KDM5A-2:2". Lineage: Eukaryota; Metazoa; Chordata; Mammalia; Primates; Hominidae. The record is from RNAcentral.
GGGGGACUAAUCUGGCAUUGGGACUCUGGGUCUGGAACCUGGUAACCAGCUUAGCUCCUCACAUGGCAGAGAGAUUAGGAGCACAGGGCCUGAGCACUCCUCGCCCCCAUUCGCUGAUGGAUGACAGCAGCUGGAGGGGAAUGUUCUGAGGGACUGGGGAGCUGCAGGCAGGGGCCCAGGUUUGCUCUGGAGGGCACGAGUCACCCAGGACCACUGGCUGGGUUAGUGAAAUGGCUCCUUUGCCAAGCGUCAACAUGUGGUAGAUCUAAUUUGAAAUGAGUUCCAGAGCUGAGGCAAGGCUAUGAUAGAACACAAGGCAAACAGCUGAAAACUGUAGUCAAAAGGCAGGGAAGCUGAGAAAGUGAUUCAAA